This 67-nucleotide transfer RNA is filed under the name Marmota monax (woodchuck). RNAcentral's name for it is "tRNA.Ala". The record is from RNAcentral. Lineage: Eukaryota; Metazoa; Chordata; Mammalia; Rodentia; Sciuridae.
GGCUGUAGCUCAUUGGUAGAGUGCCCGCCUUGCACAUGUGAGGCACUGGGUUCGAUCCUCAGCACCA